AUUGUCAUUUUCAGGAAGAAUGGAGUUCAGGCGAUGGUGGAAUUUGACUCAGUUCAAAGUGCCCAGCGGGCCAAGGCCUCUCUCAAUGGGGCUGAUAUCUAUUCUGGCUGUUGCACUCUGAAGAUCGAAUACGCAAAGCCUACACGCUUGAAUGUGUUCAAGAAUGAUCAGGAUACUUGGGACUACACAAACCCCAAUCUCAGUGGACAAGCUGAGAGGCCAGAGCCCCCCAUUCCUAGGCAGGCCUGUCUUGCUCGCCCUUGCAUCUGGGAAGCAGUGGGCAGGGUGGGCUAGACUCUUCCCCAGGAUCCUCACAGUGGGCCCUGUGGGCCUGGCUGCUCCCUCCAAAGGUCAGAGGCAAAUUGGUGACCAAGUGAAUGUACCAGAGCGGGCAAUGGCAUUACAUGACUGCUAACAGAAACAUGGCAACAACCAUUUCUUCUCCAAGGAACAUAAAUAGAAGAUGUGCAGACCGGCAGGGGCUAGUGGCAGGGGGCUGGCUGUGCAUUGGUUUUGAUGCCUCUCAGCUUUGGCAGCCCCAAGGCUGGGGCCCAAAAAAAAACGAGGGCUGAUGAGGUGACCUGGAGUGAGGGCGGUGCUUCGCCACCCCUCAGGAACCAUACUUCAGCGGCUCUGCCUCUGCACAUUGCUCACCAACACACAGGGUAGAAAACCACUAGCUCUUCCUGGAGAGAACAGAACAUGCAGCCUCCACCACGUCCCCAGAAACAGCCGCAGACUUGAGCUCACUACAUCAAGAACACCACACCGCGCUCCAAGGAACAGCUACAAGCACAGAGACAGAGGCAUACAGAGACAAAGAGAGAAAGAGACGCAACAUGGCAGCAGACACUGCUUUUUUUAUUAAACAUUAAAAAAAAGGUCAAAAUCCAAGCAAACUUGAACCCGAGAAUGUACACAGAAGUAGGAAACACAGAGAACAGAGCUGUCCCAGCCAGCCAGCGAGCGAUGCUCUUUUCGGAGAACGUUUCAUAGACGGAAGUAGAUUCCAUGGGCCUCCAAGACAAUAGGAUCCUCUCUCCAUUCCUCGCCAUAUGGGUUUUGUUUUUUAAGUCAUUUGGUUUGGGGAGGGCCUUGUUUUUUUUCUGUUUUGAUAUUUUUAUUUUUUCUGCAGUCACCGGCUGCCAACAUAAUCUGCACCAACUGGAGAUCAGAAACCAAAAAAAAAAAAAAAAAUUUUAACCACAACAAAAAAAAAAUCAAAAAAACCAAAACAGACCUAAAACCAGACAGCCAAACAGCUCAGAGGCACACAGUUACCUGCUGCCGGGUAACCAGGCGCGCUCCCAAGGCCAAAAGCGCGAGCGUAGUGGGGCCACUGGCACACCUCAUACCAGGAGACACGCACACGGAGCGCUACACAGCCAGAAGCACCGCACCACCGCACUGCAGCACAUAUGUGAGGAGGUGACAACAUGGAGGGACACUACCCACUUCAUACACCUUUAUUUCCACUUUUCUGAUAUCUUCUGAGGACAGAACAUCUGUGAGCCAUUUUUGAUUUAAUCAAAAUAUUGACUUUUAAAACAAUUCUUUAAAAAAAUUGUAGCGGAUGUGUACCGUGACUUGUAUUUAUGACUGUAAAACCAUGUGAUGCAGGGUCGCAGUGUAUGUUUGAUGGGACGCCAUCUUUCAGAACUGUGCUAACUCACUGUUGAAGCGUCCAAUGGUAAGAGAAAAUACAGAUUUGUUUUUUGUGACAAAUGGACAUUGUACUCUGUACUUCUGCUGUAAGUAGUCCUUUUCCAUUUUGUAAUGACUGGUAACAAAACCCAGGCCGGGUGGCAGGAAAGGGCAGUGGUUUCGAGCCCUGGGUUUUGGAGUCAGCCAGACCUGGGUUCAAAUAUGGCUCAGCCACUGUCUUGCUUUGUGACUUUGGGCCAAAGUGUCUUUUAACUGCUCAGUUAAAAGUUAACAACUCAGUCUUCUUAUCUGUAAAAUGGGGCUGAAAUAUCAGAACCUACCUCAUAGGGUUGUUGUGAGGAAUUUCAGAAGCUGUGAUGUCUGUAAAGCGCUUAGCCCAGUGCCUGCCACUUAAGCGCUAAGUUAAAGGCAGUGAUUACGAACUGCUGGGGUCGGGGUGGAUCUGCGCCAUUGCUGGGUGUGGGAAUGUCGAUGCCUUGUACAUGAUUGCUUAUUUGAACUGAUUCUGCUGUUGCCCUGCUUGUCAGCUACAGUCAGUCCCUCUUGGGCUGGCGGGACUGGGAGGGAGGGGGGACUGGGAUUAAGAAAGAAGGGAUCUAACAGAGACAGUCUGGAGCUCCUAGAACUUUGGGGGCUUUGGGGGUCAAACUUGCUUGCUUCCCUCUGGGGUUAUUUUCCUCUUAAUCUACUCUCCCUUCAUUGGGAGUCACUUUAGAAAGCUGCUUUUGGCCCGCCAUAAUAUAUCAGCUUCUGUAGCAGCUGCACAUUCCCCAGAGGGCCUGGGAGCUGGGCUUUCUCCCAGGGCCAGGGUAGGUGAGAGCACAGAAUCUGGCCUUGUCCUUCACAGAACAAGGCCAGCCCUUUGGUAUGAGCAGGGGAAGGAGAGUGGGCACCAGCUUUGAGGCUCGGGCUUCAUGCCCGCCGUAGGUCAGAUCACAAAAGGAGGCCCCACAGCCCUCGAGGAAGGGAGGGCUUGCAGUUGGCAGGAGCUGGGGGCUCAGAUCAGCCUGUGCAGUCAGGAGGGAGGGAGAGACCCCAAUUUCUGAGUGAGACUCCUAACUGUUUUCUCUCUCCACAGG
Molecule: long non-coding RNA, 2744 nt
Filed under: Homo sapiens (human)
Lineage: Eukaryota; Metazoa; Chordata; Mammalia; Primates; Hominidae
Description: non-protein coding lnc-ECH1-6:1
Source: RNAcentral